UCGUCUUUCCUGUAUUAGUCAGAUCUAUUUGGUUUCAUCGUGUAUUCAAGCUUUCGUCAUUCUCCCGUCCCCCUUCCAGAAAUGGAAGAAACUUGCUUGCUUGACUUGCCAGAAAACCUUCUGGUCACCCGCAUUUUCCCACGCCUCCCAUUGUGUGGAAUUUCAAGCCUCGGACGUGUCAACAAAUACCUCCGUCAAUUAAUCUCCAGAAGAAAUUUUCUUGAAUCUUAUCUCAAGUUUUCCCCAUAUACCACCGUUAUUGUAUCGCAUAGGUAUGUUUCCUCUGCUACCGUCCCAAGCUUCUCCCUCCUCCAAUUGGAGGAGGAUCCAACGGCACCUCUUCUUGCGUCCCUUGUCCGGACGCCCUUCCAAUCGGGGGAUGUGGCUACCAUCGUGGGAUCUUCCCACGGCUAUAUCUGCUUUCGUGUCAAUUCGUUAUUCAUUAAAAGAAUGCCAAAGCACGGGUAUUUGUCAACUCUUCAUGUAUCAAAUCCAAUUAUUGGGGAAUUCAUCACUCUGCCGCCACCGCCGUCGACAAUGAUGGGGGAUGACGGAUCGGUGGAAGGUUUUGGUUUUGGAAUGGUUGAGAAAACGAAGGAGUUCAAAAUCCUGCGAUUGUCGUGUUCUUUUUAUGAUACCGAUGGCGAAGGAGAUGGGUGCAGAGGGGAAGUCUUUAGAUUUGAAGAAUAUCGGUGGGUUUCAGUUCAAGGACCCAAUCCCCCUUUUCCUAGAUAUCGUCGAUAUUUUGAUGGCCGAAUGAAUCGGGCCGAGAUGUGCCCGUUGUCGUACCGAAAUCGUUUGCAUUGGCUCACACAGCCAAACAGGGAGGAUUUUUUAUAUUGUUUUGAUAUUGCAGAGGAACGGAUUUUUCCCAUACCGCCACCGCCGGUACUAGCAUCCGCCGAAAUGAGUGUAACAGUCCUGGAUGAUCUUCUUUCUAUUUGUGUUGUUUCGGAGGAUAGUAUCGAUAUUUGGCAGAUGCUUGACUACGGGGUGGAAGGUUCUUGGAAGAGAACUCGAAUCCUUGACCUUGGCCUUGCAGUCCGUGUCCCCCCUCUCCCUUCCGUCCCAGUGCUUCGUUUGCAAGACACUGGGAUUUUGCUUUGUCACCAAAGCUAUGAAACGCUCAAAAAAGUGAUUGAGGGGGAAAUGUCUGCGGUCAAUAUAACCGCCGGAACCCAGUCACAAGAUGUCACUGCUGUUUCCUAUAUCCCCCGCCUUGAGUCUGUGACCGAAUUGGUGAACCGUGCGGAUAAGACCAACUACAAAUACCUACGAAGGUGUAACCUUCACAACUUUAUACAAGCCACGCUUAACACGAUCAAUGGAGAAGGGGCUACAAUUGUGGUUUCCGGUGACAGUCCUUUUGUCCCCAAAGAUGCCAUUCAGAUCAUUAUUAAAAUGGCAGCUGCAAAUGGAGUAAGACAAAUUUGGGUUGGUAAGAACGGCUUGUUGUCUACUCCUGCUGUAUCAGCUGUUAUACGUAAAAGAGUUGGCAUUGAUGGUUCUAAGGCUUCUGGAGCAUUCAUAUUGACUGGUAGCCACAACCCUGGUAGCCCUUGUGAGGAUUUUGGAGUUAAAUACAUGAUGGGAAAUGGGGGACUUGCUCCAGAAUCUGUUACUCAUAAGAUCCAUGAAGCGACAAAAACCAUUGUGGAGCAUGGGUUUGCAGUAGGAUUGCCAGAUGUGGAUCUCAAUACAAUAGGUUUGACAAGAUUGCCUCUUUCAAGGGGACAAUUUGAGGUUGAAGUCUUAGAUUUAGCCAGUGACUAUGUAGAAGUGAUGAAGUCCACCUUUGAUUUUGGCCCAAUUCGGAAGCUUAUUUCAUUACCAAACUUUACUUUCUGUUUUGAUGCACUUAAUGGGUUGGCUGGAGCACUUGCAAGACGUAUCUUUGUUGAAGAGCUUGGUGCUGAAGAAAGCUCUCUGAGAAAUUGUGCUUUUAAGGAGGACUUCAUCGGAGGGUAUAAUUUUACCAAUGCAGAAUCAGUUGCUCGAAUGAGGUUGGGUAAGACCAACGCUGGCAGUGAGCCACCAGACUUUGGUGCUGUUGUUGAUUGGGAUGCUAGCUGUAACAUGGUUUUUGGCAAAAGGUUUUAUGUUACCGCAUCUGAUGCUGUUGCUGUUAUUGCUGCAAAUGCUGUUGAGGCCAUCCCUUACUUUUCUGGUGGUCUUAAAGGAGUUGCCAGGAGUAUGCCCACAUCUUCUGCUCUUGAUGUUGUGGCUAAGCGUCUCAAGCUUCCCUUGUUUGAGGUUCCUGUUGGCUUGGAGUUCCGGGGAAAUUUAAUGGAUGCUGGACUAUGUUCAAUAUGGGGUGAAGAGAGUUGCGGGAUGUGCUGUGAUUGUAUACGUGAAAGAGAUGGAAUUUGGGCCGUUUUGGCUUGGCUAGCCAUUCUGGCAGACAAAAACAAAGAUAACUUGUGUGGAGGGAGGCUUGUGACCAUUGAAGACAUUGUUUCUCAUCAUUGGUCUGUUUAUGGCCGCCACUAUUACACUCGAUAUGAUUACGAGAAUGUUGAUGCAGGUGGUGCAAAGGAGUUGAUGGCCCAUUUGGUCAAGCUGCAAUCAUCCCUCAAUGAAGUGAAUGUAAUAAUAAAAGGGAUACAUUCAGACGUUUCAAAUGUUGUUCGUGCUGAUGAGUUUUUUGAGUAUAAAGAUCCAGUGGAUGGUUCCAUCUCUAAGCAUCAGGGUAUCCGAUAUCUGUUUGAAGAUGGUUCGCGAUUGGUUUUCUGUCUUUCUGGAACUGGAUCAGAGGUUGCUACUAUUCGUGUUUAUAUUGAGCAAUAUGAGAAGUAUUCUUCAAAAACUGGCAGAGAUUCUCAAGAAGCACUUGCUCCUUUGGUUGAAGUUGCUAUUAAGCUCUCUAAGAUGGAAGCAUUCACUGGCAGAUCUGCCCCCACAACCAUCACAUAAGAACAUGCUGUUACGCAGUUUAACAGAUUUGUAUGUCUUAACAGCACAAAAAAAUGGUAUAACUGCUGUUACGAGUCAAUAAUGCUCCACUCUACGGAUACUCCAUAUCGACUUGUGUAAUUUUUGUGUUUCUGCGGCCUCAAUAUGGUGGGCAUAUUUGAUGAGAAUAUCUGUGGACUUGGGUUUCCAGUUUUGCACGUAAGAACUUUGGAUGGUCGGGGUGAGGGAGCCUAAAGAGGCUUGUGUAUCAGGGCUAGCAGAUAUGCAAACUUGACUAGACAAGACAAGGGGUGCUAUGGCAUCACUUUUGGAUUUUUUUUGGCACCACCCUUGGAAUUAGAAUCUUUCUAGAGAGCAUGGAAUUUGUCACCAAGUUCGGAUGGUACAAGCACUUGCAGUUUUUGUUCCUCCACCAACCGCUGUGAAUAAGGUGUUGCAGGAAUGUAAAACCCAAAUUUAAUCAUGCCUGGUGAUGGUUCAAGAAAAUACUAGUAUGGUAAUGGAAAAGGAACCACAGUAUGACAUUAUCUCCACACAAUAAUGCAAUACAAAGGUAUCUGAAUAAUCAAGUCUUAUCCCAAACUUUUACAGCCAACCGAAGGCAACAUGAUUAACAUUCCCAGGUAACGCAUUGAGAUAGUGUAUUAUGACAUCAAUCAGGAUGGUAUUGGCUCUGCUUCGCUUUGUUGUAGCAUUGUUGUAUGCUCAAAUUUUCUCAUUGUCGGGCCCAACUGAACUCCAAUUUAUAAAUUGUAGGUCACACCACAUCAGCGGAAGAGGGGUAGGAAGCAACCAUACCCAACAGUUCACGGUCAAGAUUUUGUCAAAAAAAUUAUACGAUCCAAAUUUUAUCUUGUACCUCGUUCUUAACAACAUGUGUGGGACUCACCAAAUUUUGUUCUAAAAUUAUACGUUAUUGAAAGUAAAUUAUACUAUGUAUAAACAGAGUUACGUUGUGUGCAAAAUGCACAUAACCUUCAGGAA
This is a non-coding RNA of Coffea arabica (coffee), 3897 nucleotides long. Lineage: Eukaryota; Viridiplantae; Streptophyta; Magnoliopsida; Gentianales; Rubiaceae. The record is from RefSeq and is a predicted model, not a curated record.